RNAcentral lists this ribosomal RNA (440 nucleotides) under uncultured bacterium. RNAcentral's name for it is "partial 16S ribosomal RNA". It matches the Rfam family "Bacterial small subunit ribosomal RNA", at positions 338 to 795 of the family's 1533-position model. The record is from RNAcentral.
CCUACGGGUGGCAGCAGUAGGGAAUAUUGCUCAAUGGGGGAAACCCUGAAGCAGCAACGCCGCGUGAAGGAUGAAGGUUUUCGGAUUUUAAACUCCUUUUUUUAGGGAAGUAAAGGACGUUACCUAACGAAUAAGACCCGGCUAAUUCCGUGCCAGCAGCCGCGGUAAUCCGGAGGGUGCAAGCGUUACCCGGAAUCACUGGGCGUAAAGAGCGCGUAGGCGGGAUAGCAAGUCAGAUGUGAAAUCCUAUGGCUUAACCAUAGAACUGCAUUUGAAACUGUUGUUCUAGAGUAUGGGGGAGGUAGGUGGAAUUCUUGGUGUAGGGGUAAAAUGCGUAGAGAUCAAGAGGAAUACUCAUUGCGAAGGCGACCUGCUAGAACAUAACUGACGCUGAUGCGCGAAAGCGUGGGGAGCAAACAGGAUUAGAUACCCGGGUAGUC